Molecule: long non-coding RNA, 1017 nt
Filed under: Heterocephalus glaber (naked mole-rat)
Lineage: Eukaryota; Metazoa; Chordata; Mammalia; Rodentia; Bathyergidae
Description: lncRNA (ENSHGLG00000035574.1)
Source: RNAcentral
GUUCUUUAUUUGAAUUUUGGGGUUCACAUAUAAGAGAAAUCAUGCAAUAUCUAAGCUUGUGUGUCUGAUUCAUUUUGGUUAACAUUAUGGUCUCAAAGUGCAUCCAUUUUCCUACAAAUUACUCAAGUUUUAUCCUUCUUCAUGGCAGAAAAUUACUUCAUUAUGUAUAUAAAUAUCACAUCGUUUUUAACCAUUCAUCUGUUCAUGAACAUAUAACAUUCAAGAUUUAGCUAUUAUAAUUUGUGCUGCUAUAAACAUAUUAAUGCAUAUCACUGCAAUAUGACAUCUUUCACUCUUGUGAGAAGACACAUAGCUGGAUCAGAUGGAAUUUCUACUUUAGUUUUUUUUUUUUUAGUUCUCCAUUUAUAACAUAUAAAGAACUCAAAAAAAUUAGAGCCCCCAAAAUAAAAGACCCAAUCAAAAGAUGGACAUCUGAAAUGAAUAGACACUUCUUACAUGAAGCAUAAAUGGCCAAUAAAACGCAUAAAUGUUCAACAUCACUGAUCAUUAGAGAAAUGCAAAUGACAACACUGAGAUUUCAUUUCACUCCUGAAAGAACGGCUAUCAUCAAACAAUCAAUAACAAAUAGUUGGUACUGGCAAAGCUGUGGGGACAAAAGAACCCUGCUACACUGUAGGUGGAAAUGUAUAUUAGUAAAACCACUAUGGAAUGCAUUUGAUUUGAUUUGAAUAUGUUUUUAAGGUAGGGUCUUGUUAUGUAGUUCAGGCUGGCCUUGAACUCACUAUGUAGCCCAUGCUCCCCUUGAACUCAUGGUGAGCUUCCUGCCUCAGCCUUCUGAGUACUGGGAUUACAGGUGUACAUGACCACAGGUAGCUGGAAUACAUUGUAAAAUUGGAAAUACUAUUUUAUCAAAGGAAUGGACUUUGUCCUUGUGUUUUUAUAUUUCAUCAUUCAUUGCCAUUUGAUAUUUAUAAAUAUGAGUGUGUAUAUGUGAGUGUAUAUGCAAAGGAUUAUAUUUCACUGUUUUUGUACAGUUUUGUACAAAGUAUAGUGGAU